This 427-nucleotide ribosomal RNA is filed under the name uncultured bacterium. Its description in RNAcentral is "bacterial SSU rRNA". It matches the Rfam family "Bacterial small subunit ribosomal RNA", at positions 355 to 776 of the family's 1533-position model. The record is from RNAcentral. RNAcentral also lists the same sequence under 2 other names.
UCUAGAGGCUUCGGCAAUGGGGGCAACCCUGACCGAGCGACGCCGCGUGUGGGAUUGAAGGCCUUCGGGUCGUAAACCACUGUCAUUGGGAAAGAAUGCCCGGAUGGCGAAUCCGGGAGGGACGGUACCCAAGAAGGAAGCCCCGGCUAACUCCGUGCCAGCAGCCGCGGUAAUACGGAGGGGGCAAGCGUUGUUCGGAUUUACUGGGCGUAAAGGGUGUGUAGGCGGUUGCGUAAGUCUGGUGUGAAAUCUUCACCGCUUAACGGGAAGAGGUCACUGGAAACUGCGUAACUCGAGUAUGGUAGAGGCAAGCGGAAUUCCUGGUGUAGCGGUGGAAUGUGUAGAUAUCAGGAAGAACACCGGUGGCGAAGGCGGCUUGCUGGGCCAUCACUGACGCUGAGACACGAAAGCGUGGGGAGCAAACGGG